RNAcentral lists this ribosomal RNA (460 nucleotides) under uncultured bacterium. RNAcentral's name for it is "partial 16S ribosomal RNA". It matches the Rfam family "Bacterial small subunit ribosomal RNA", at positions 338 to 795 of the family's 1533-position model. The record is from RNAcentral.
CCUACGGGAGGCAGCAGUGAGGAAUAUUGGUCAAUGGGCUUACGCCUGAACCAGCCAAGUCGCGUGAGGGAAGACUGCCCUAUGGGUUGUAAACCUCUUUUGUCAGGGAGCAAUUGGCGCUACGUGUAGCGUUAUCGAGAGUACCUGAAGAAAAAGCAUCGGCUAACUCCGUGCCAGCAGCCGCGGUAAUACGGAGGAUGCGAGCGUUAUCCGGAUUUAUUGGGUUUAAAGGGUGCGUAGGCGGAAUGCCAAGUCAGCGGUAAAAUCGCGGGGCUCAACCUCGCUCCGCCGUUGAAACUGGCGUGCUUGAGUGGGCGAAAAGUAGGCGGAAUGCGUGGUGUAGCGGUGAAAUGCAUAGAUAUCACGAAGAACCCCGAUUGCGAAGGCAGCAUACCGGCGCCCAACUGACGCUGAAGCACGAAAGCGUGGGUAUCGAACAGGAUUAGAUACCCUGGUAGUC